Long non-coding RNA from Danaus plexippus (monarch butterfly), 4400 nucleotides. RefSeq lists it as uncharacterized. The record is from RefSeq and is a predicted model, not a curated record. NCBI's taxonomy places the organism in Eukaryota, Metazoa, Arthropoda, Insecta, Lepidoptera, Nymphalidae. The transcript has 2 exons.
CGCGUCGUUGUUAAUACACUUUAAGUUUUACAAAUAACGCAAGAAGAACUACACACGUGUCAUGGAAGGCUACUCAUGAAGUUAACCGACACUUCUAGUAAAGUUGUUGCGCAAUUUAUUAAUUAUCAUUCUAGUGAAUUACUUGUGCCGUUUGUGAAAACUUUAACAUCACCUAACUAGGUAUAAUGAGUUAGUUUAGAAUAUUUCUUAUAACUAAGGCAAUUAUAGUCAAUCGAUAUAUUAUAUCAGAUAUACGUAAGUCUGCAUCAAAUAACAGAAGUGUGUCCCGCCACAAACACCUAUUUGAAAUCUUAAGACAUUUUUUCAUAUUAUUAUUUUAAAGAAGUUUAGUUAGUAAAUGCUUUAAUUUAAGACUUUAGAACAAUUAGAUACUGAUUUCUAUGAAUUGAUUUUUAAAAUUGUAAAAGUUUGUUGUUUUCCUCGCAAGCAAUUUAACACUUAAUGUUAUUAAAAAAUUCCUUAUGUCAAAUAUAACAUGUAGAUACUAUGAGAGCACUUAAUAUUAAUGUGUAAGUGGAUGACGCAAUAGGGGUCAGACACUCAAGGUGAGGGCCGGUGGGGAGUGUCGCGAAACAGCUCUUUUGUCUCCCCAACCUGGUAACACUAAGAUAAUCAUUUUUUUUAUAAAUGAAAAAUUGUCUUCGUCCGCUUUUAGCUAGACAUUCUUCAUUUUUAUAAGUACAGUGGAUAAAUAGCUCACGUAAACAAGCUAAACUAUUUGUCUAACACGUACUUACUAAAAACUAGAAUAAUUUACAUAGAUUAAAAGUAGAAUGUGGUUUCAAAAAGAUAAGCGUAAUAAAAAGUUUUAAGGGAAAAUUUUAUAGCAAGUAAUUGAGAAAGAAAUAAUGUCCCAUUUUUAUUAACAGCGAGUAGUCAUGUACUAACUCGCACUUGUACUAAAUGGAGGUCAUGCCAUGUAAAGCACAAGAUAAUAUUGUCGCAAUAUAAUUUAUUUAAAUAGCAGGAAGGGCACGGGGCAGAUAUUUUACAAGAAUGGAAUUAGUGAUAUUAAUAUAAUUGGAAUGGACAUGUUAAGGAAUCUCUUUACAAAAUCAAAUUAAUGUGACCACUCGACAAAUACCGGAGCGUGAAGACAGUCCAGCUAGUGAUUUAUGGGAUCUAAGACUUCCGAAAUUCUAAUUUAUCGAAAGUGCAUCUACGUAGAAUACUUAUGACUUCUACAAGCUUUUGGUUUCUAAAAAAUUGUUAUUCCCGUAAGACUUAAUCCUCCCUAAAACGAGAUGACAAAGUUCAGUCUAUGGAAUUUUAUAAAACGAAUCCCGAAAUAAAUCUACUGUAUGAUCUUUACUGUCAUGGAACGGUAGGAACUGUGCAUUUUAAGAAAAUAGUUUUUUGGACCUCUUUAUCUCGAAAGGUAUUUUUAGGAAAUAUAUGUAUAUAUUAUGAAAAAAAGUUUUCAUUAGAUAACUAUAACAAUAUGUUCAAACAUAUCGUAAAGCUGGAAAGUGAGCCGAUAACUUCAACAAAUCAAGUGAAUUUUUUAUUGCAGAUGUCACUGUUUUGUGAACUUAUUAGAUUUAAUUUAUAAUUAAAAUGGCCCUUUUCUUGUAUUAGAGGCUUGGGACACAGUCUUUUAAAAGUUAAGGGUUCUCCUAUAUGUACAACGACCACAUUUCAACUAGUGAGCUUAAAAAGUAUCAUUCAAAAAUUUACCUAUAAAUGUUCUAGCAAUAAACCAUAAAGGUCUUUUAAAUUUUCAGGUUCGUCGUAUUAAUUAGUUCAACUUUUCCAUAUCAUCUAUUAUAGUUAGUCAUUACAUUUAUUACAUAGCAACUAAGAAUAAAAUUGAAUGUUUGUGUUUAUCUGAACAUUUGAGAAAGCCUUUGUAAUAUAAUGUUUUCUAUUAACUAUUUCUGUACAACCUGUAAGUUGAAGGCCACUAGAUAGCAUCGUUAUUAUUUUAGUAAUUCUUUUUUUUGAAAUUGUUUUUCGACAAGUAAUUUGAAUAACUUAUUUACUUUAUUAUUAUUAUUAAAAAUGGAAUUCUAAAUCGUUAAUAACUAAUUAACUCAACGUUUCUUCCUUUUUAAAUGUUUAUUAAGUUUACACUUUGAAAAAUAAAUUAUUAUACUAUUUCCUGAAAAAGACUUCAUCAUAGGUAAUUUUGGAAUCAUCUUUGAGCCUUUCGUGUCAUUAUUACGCCUAUAUCCGUAAAUUGACAUAGUAUAUCCGUAAAUUUCAAGUGAUUCUUCAAGUGGUAGUUAGCUUUUAAGUUGUAUAUUAAUAAGAAAUAAUUUGCGAGACAUGUGAAAGGAAUUAAAAUGCAAGAAGAGUGUAGGAUUGCUGGAAAUGCACCCGAAAAGCAAUGUGUGAGAAUAUACAAUGAUUACUGGUAGGUUCUCCAACGAUGAGUCUUUGCAGAGGUUUAAUAAUGAUAUGGAGUGACAGUAUCUUUGUUGCUCUUUCAUAAUUGGGAAUCAUGCAUAACGCUAAAAACGACCAGAUUAAACAAUUUAAAGAAUAUGUUGUGCGCUUUGAAGGGUUUACUUGUAAUGAUUGGAGUGGAUUAAAGUCACAAACAGACGUCGCAAAUAUCAUGAAUGGGUACCUUUAGGGGAUAGGCUUUAAAAAAAUUACAGUGAUCAGAUAUCAGCCUCAUACUUCAACCCAAUAGAACUGAUUUGGAAUAAGCUUAACACUAAUUAAGACAGAUUUUAACCCAACACAAACCGUUAACAUUUCGAAGUUUCGCCUGGCGGGACAUAUCACAUAGAGAUCUAUCGUGUGUUCACAAGCAUGCCAGAUGUAGGUGGUAGCGUCCGAUUACUCCCCGGUAGGAAGGAGGUCUCUUUACGAUAUUCUUAGAUCUUUAUGGUGAAAUAACGACUGACAUCACAGACACGAAUGCCCCAAAAUGACACCACAACAUACCCACAUCGCCUACGCUGGCGAAGACAAGGUCCGACUACGUAAUCACCACUGUCGUUGGCAGAAUUAUGUUGCGAGUAGUCACCCUUCUUCAUUAAGGUACCCUUAGGAAAGAGUGUACCCCUUCGGAUCCUCUAGGCUCUAAGCCCGUAUCUCGAGGGUAGAUCCUUUUGGAUCCUUCCCCUGUGACGUUCUCAAAGCGAAUAAGUCUAAUGACAACUGUUGAUACUAGAGAUUAGAGCAAAAGGGCUCAUUAUUAAACAAUGCAAAAACAAAACUGCGAGAUUUUAAUUUUCAAUGUCUCCGUAUGUAAUUAUGGAUAUCGGUGUUAUUUUACUUAAAUUACAUAAUUCUUGAAAAAUCUUUAUUUGUAGAAAAAGACAAUUGCAUAAAUUUAGAGCAGAAUUAAGCUCUAUUUUUAGGGUCCAAUAAAAAACUGAAGUUAUGAAAAAAUUUAUAUUUGGCUGAAUUUCUUAAACUGUUGGUGUAGUUAAAAUAAACUAAAAAAAUCAAUUGUUUCUUUUAUAUUUUAUAAAAGUUAUUAAAUACAUAUAUUUUAUUAAAUUUUUUAAUCACGUCAUGGAGAUGAACCAUAUACAGCCAUUUACAUCACCAUACCUAAAAAAGAAAAAAGGAUUUUAUAGUUUGUUGAAUACAUAUGUCCAUUGUGUACAGUACAAGUAAUCACAAUUCAGAAGUGUGUAUUGCUGAUUUCAUCCUCAAUCAAAGAGAUUCCCACAAAAACAUGUCAUCAUAGUAUUUUUAUUAAACUAAAAUUGUUAAGUAACAUAUGAAAAUAAUUCAGAGUACUUUAUAACUUAAUAACAAUGUAAAAUAAAUUGAUUCUUACCAAACAAGGUUUAUUUGUGUGACAUAUUCCUCCCUGGUUGUUGGAACUAUUCUGAAAAAUAAAUACCGAGGCGUUAAAUGUAGGUACAUAUAUGUCGCUUUACAUCUAUAAUUACUGCAUGCUGAAAGUGUAUAGAACCUCAUUAUUUUGUAUGAAUUGUCAAUGAAAGAGUAAGGUUAAAUUUAAAACAAUAUAAGUAGAAAAAUAAUAAUUUGCAACUUCAUUGGAACCAAAACAAUAAAACCAAUAAAAAAAACAUCAAUGGUGGUGCAAGUUACUUAAUACAAUCUUAAAUAUGUGUAUCUUAGGUUCAUUACAGGUGCACGACAAGGUCUUCUGUAUUCCAGACUCCUCGGCAGGCUAUGUAGAUUCCUUAGUUGUCUACCAAUAACUCUUUUUGUUUGCUACAACGGCUAUAAUUUUAUAAAAUUACUAUUUAACUUAAAAAAUAAAACAUACCUGAAUUAGCACAUUUUAAGCUUCAGGCUGAAACAAGUGUUUUAAUAAAACAAUUUAUCUUUUAUUAUUUUUUUUUAUUCUUAGAAAAUAUUGUACAUAUGCUUAUAUGAUUCCAAUCUUAUUGGCAACGUCUAACGCGUCGUAGUCUCUUGCGAGUCGUACAUACGCCUUCUUUUUG